Molecule: ribosomal RNA, 266 nt
Filed under: uncultured archaeon
Lineage: Archaea
Description: partial 16S ribosomal RNA
Rfam family: Archaeal small subunit ribosomal RNA
Source: RNAcentral
AGUCACUGACAUUAGAUACCCGCCGUAGUCCCAGCCGUAAACUAUGCGCGUUAGGUGUACUGGUGACCACGAGUCACCGGGGUGCCGAAGGGAAACCGUGAAACGUGCCGCCUGGGGAGUACGUCCGCAAGGAUGAAACUUAAAGGAAUUGGCGGGGGAGCACCGCAACGGGAGGAGCGUGCGGUUUAAUUGGAUUCAACACCGUAAAACUCACCAGGGAAGACUGUUACAUGAAAGCCGAGAUGAAGACUCUGCUAGAUUUUCAG